GUGCCAUGGUGAUGAAUGAGUCCCAUAUUAAACCUUUAUCCAUUCAUUUCACUUUGUCAGCAAUCUUCUUGUUUACUUGUUGAUCAUUACAGAAUGGAAGUUUU
Molecule: non-coding RNA, 104 nt
Organism: Thalictrum thalictroides
Lineage: Eukaryota; Viridiplantae; Streptophyta; Magnoliopsida; Ranunculales; Ranunculaceae
Source: the annotation of a GenBank genome assembly